This 496-nucleotide ribosomal RNA is filed under the name uncultured bacterium. RNAcentral describes it as "partial 16S ribosomal RNA". It matches the Rfam family "Bacterial small subunit ribosomal RNA", at positions 29 to 507 of the family's 1533-position model. The record is from RNAcentral.
AUGCACGCUGGCGGCGUGCCUCAUCCCUGCAAGUCGCGCGAACGGACGAGAAGCUUGCUUUUCUGAUGUUAGCGGCGGACGGGUGAGUAACACGUGGAUAACCUACCUAUAAGACUGGGAUAACUUCGGGAAACCGGAGCUAAUACCGGAUAAUAUUUUGAACCGCAUGGUUCAAAAGUGAAAGACGGUCUUGCUGUCACUUAUAGAUGGAUCCGCGCUGCAUUAGCUAGUUGGUAAGGUAACGGCUUACCAAGGCAACGAUGCAUAGCCGACCUGAGAGGGUGAUCGGCCACACUGGAACUGAGACACGGUCCAGACUCCUACGGGAGGCAGCAGUAGGGAAUCUUCCGCAAUGGGCGAAAGCCUGACGGAGCAACGCCGCGUGAGUGAUGAAGGUCUUCGGAUCGUAAAACUCUGUUAUUAGGGAAGAACAUAUGUGUAAGUAACUGUGCACAUCUUGACGGUACCUAAUCAGAAAGCCACGGCUAACUACGUG